AGGAAAUAAAAAGGGGCAAGUGCCCGGAACCUCGAAAGAAAAUAAAAAGUGAGACGAGAGGUAAAAAUGGAUGUGUCCGACAGUAGAAUUACGGGUACAAAACCUGAGAGAAAAGAAAAAGAAAAGAGAGAGCAUCUCAUUCUCCUCAAAAAGUUUCAAAGAGCAAGAAAGGUAUGCAUCCCCUCAAAAGAGCAACAAGUAGAAUUAGACUUUCACCAUUGUUAUCAUCAUCAUCACCAUACACCAUUCAUUCGCCACACAUGCACAUCUUGAUUUGACUUAUUAACUUGUUUCUUUGGAUCCAUGGUUUGACUAUAUAAUAAAUGUCUUGUAAGUAUGUAUACUUUAUCUCCCACCUAUGAGCUCCAGAAAUCAAAACCUUAUUAGAGUAGGGUGAGAGAGAAGGCAAUGUCACUAUGCCUCAUACCAAAAAUACUACAUACUUUGAGAGAAUGCAUAUACUAUCACUGCCUUGGUAAGGAUCCAGAAAUACCACAA
RNAcentral lists this long non-coding RNA (498 nucleotides) under Sorghum bicolor (sorghum). RNAcentral describes it as "long non-coding RNA (SBIC_LNC005338)". The record is from RNAcentral. Lineage: Eukaryota; Viridiplantae; Streptophyta; Magnoliopsida; Poales; Poaceae.